AAUCUCGUGCCAGCCACCGCGGUUAUACGAGGGACCUAAGUUAAUAUACACAGCCCAAAGGGCAGUUAAAUAUACAGCAAAAUAAAAUUAAAAAUCUUCUAAGCUGUCAUACGCAAAAUAAUUAUAAAACCAAAGACGAAAGUUAUUUUAUAAAUGUUGAAGCUGCUACAAUUAAGAGACAAACUGGGAUUAGAUACCCCACUAUGCUUUAUUUUAAACUUUGGAAGCCCUCGCUAGAGUACUACAAGCCACAGCUUAAAACUCAAAGGACUUGGUGGUGCUCUACACCCACCUAGAGGAGCCUGUUCUAUAAUCGAUACCCCCCGAUAAACCUCACCUCUUUUUGCUAAUUCAGCCUAUAUACCACCGCCCCCAGCUCACCUCUUAAGAGAAUAACAGUAAGCAAAAUAAUUUUAAAUAAAAAAGUCAGGUCAAGGUGUAGCACAUAAAAAGGAAAGAAAUGGGCUACAUUUUUUAUUUUUAAAAAAUACGGAAUAUUUUAUGAAAUAAAAUACAAAGGAGGAUUUAGAAGUAAAAAGAAAAGAGAGAGUUCUUUUUAAGCCGGCAAUAGAGUGCGCACACACCGCCCGUCACCCUCUUUUAAAAAUAAUAAAUUAAAUAAAUAUGCCCACUAAGAAUAGAGGAAAGUCGUAACAUGGUAAGUCCACCGGAAGGCGGCCUUGGAUA
This 687-nucleotide ribosomal RNA is filed under the name Speleomantes italicus (Italian cave salamander). Its description in RNAcentral is "partial small subunit ribosomal RNA". Lineage: Eukaryota; Metazoa; Chordata; Amphibia; Caudata; Plethodontidae. The record is from RNAcentral.